UGCCAGCAGCCGCGGUAAUACGGAGGGAGCAAGCGUUGUUCGGAAUUACUGGGCGUAAAGGGCGCGUAGGCGGCCUUGUAAGUCGGGUGUGAAAUGCCGGGGCUCAACUCCGUGCACUGCAUCCGAUACUGCUUGGCUGGAGAAAGGUAGAGGCGAGCGGAAUUCCCGGUGUAGCGGUGGAAUGCGUAGAUAUCGGGAAGAACACCUGUGGCGAAGGCGGCUCGCUGGGCCUUAUCUGACGCUGAAGCGCGAAAGCGUGGGGAGCAAACAGGAUUAGAUA
This 280-nucleotide ribosomal RNA is filed under the name uncultured bacterium. Its description in RNAcentral is "partial 16S ribosomal RNA". It matches the Rfam family "Bacterial small subunit ribosomal RNA", at positions 506 to 784 of the family's 1533-position model. The record is from RNAcentral.